UACGUAGGGUGCGAGCGUUGUCCGGAAUUAUUGGGCGUAAAGAGCUUGUAGGCGGUUUGUCGCGUCUGCUGUGAAAAUCCGGGGCUCAACCCCGGACUUGCAGUGGGUACGGGCAGACUAGAGUGUGGUAGGGGAGACUGGAAUUCCUGGUGUAGCGGUGAAAUGCGCAGAUAUCAGGAGGAACACCGAUGGCGAAGGCAGGUCUCUGGGCCACUACUGACGCUGAGAAGCGAAAAGCAUGGGGAGCGAACAGG
This 254-nucleotide ribosomal RNA is filed under the name uncultured bacterium. Its description in RNAcentral is "partial 16S ribosomal RNA". It matches the Rfam family "Bacterial small subunit ribosomal RNA", at positions 524 to 776 of the family's 1533-position model. The record is from RNAcentral.